Molecule: ribosomal RNA, 429 nt
Filed under: Actinomycetes bacterium
Lineage: Bacteria; Bacillati; Actinomycetota; Actinomycetes
Description: Actinobacteria bacterium partial 16S ribosomal RNA
Rfam family: Bacterial small subunit ribosomal RNA
Source: RNAcentral
UAGGGAAUCUUCCGCAAUGGGCGAAAGCCUGACGGAGCAACGCCGCGUGAGUGAUGAAGGUCUUCGGAUCGUAAAACUCUGUUAUUAGGGAAGAACAAAUGUGUAACUAACUAUGCACGUCUUUACGGUACCUAAUCAGAAAGCCACGGCUAACUACGUGCCAGCAGCCGCGGUAAUACGUAGGUGGCAAGCGUUAUCCGGAAUUAUUGGGCGUAAAGCGCGCGUAGGCGGUUUUUUAAGUCUGAUGUGAAAGCCCACGGCUCAACCGUGUAGGGUCAUUGGAAACUGGAAAACUUGAGUGCAGAAGAGGAAAGUGGAAUUCCAUGUGUAGCGAUGAAAUGCGCAGAGAUAUGGAGGAACACCAGUGGCGAAGGCGACUUUCUGGUCUGUAACUGACGCUGAUGUGCGAAAGCGUGGGGAUCAAACAGG